This 72-nucleotide transfer RNA is filed under the name Phrynosoma platyrhinos (Desert horned lizard). RNAcentral describes it as "tRNA-OTHER". The record is from RNAcentral. Lineage: Eukaryota; Metazoa; Chordata; Lepidosauria; Squamata; Phrynosomatidae.
GGCAGCAUGAUGUAGUGGUUUGAGCAUUGGAUUAUGACUCUAGAGAACAGGGUUCGAACCCCUGUUCAACCA